This 468-nucleotide ribosomal RNA is filed under the name uncultured bacterium. RNAcentral describes it as "partial 16S ribosomal RNA". It matches the Rfam family "Bacterial small subunit ribosomal RNA", at positions 28 to 507 of the family's 1533-position model. The record is from RNAcentral.
GACGAACGCUGGCGGCGUGCUUAACACAUGCAAGUCGAACGGAAAGGCCCUGCUUUUGUGGGGUGCUCGAGUGGCGAACGGGUGAGUAACACGUGAGUAACCUGCCCUUGACUUUGGGAUAACUUCAGGAAACUGGGGCUAAUACCGGAUAGGAGCUCCUGCUGCAUGGUGGGGGUUGGAAAGUUUCGGCGGUUGGGGAUGGACUCGCGGCUUAUCAGCUUGUUGGUGGGGUAGUGGCUUACCAAGGCUUUGACGGGUAGCCGGCCUGAGAGGGUGACCGGCCACAUUGGGACUGAGAUACGGCCCAGACUCCUACGGGAGGCAGCGGUGGGGAAUAUUGCACAGUGGGCGGAAGCCUGAUGCAGCGACGCCGCGUGCGGGAUGACGGCCUUCGGGUUGUAAACCGCUUUCGCCUGUGACGAAGCGUGAGUGACGGUAAUGGGUAAAGAAGCACCGGCUAACUACGUG